CCCUUAGAUGUUCUGGGCCGCACGCGUGCUACACUGAUGCAUUCAACGAGUCUAAAACCUGGUCUGAUAGGGCUGGGUAAUCUUUUGAAAGUGCAUCGUGAUUGGGAUAGAUGAUUGCAAUUCUUCAUCUUCAACGAGGAAUGCCUAGUAAACGCAAGUCAUCAGCUUGCAUUGAUUACGUCCCUGCCCUUUGUACACACCGCCCGUCGCUCCUACCGAUUGAAUGAUCCGAUGAAUAUCAUGGAUUGAGAGUACGAAUGGGUUCGCUCAUUUCUGCUGCUCGAGAAGUGAAGUAAAUCUUAUCAUUUAGAGGAAGGAGCAGUCGUAACA
This 330-nucleotide ribosomal RNA is filed under the name uncultured eukaryote. RNAcentral's name for it is "partial 18S ribosomal RNA". It matches the Rfam family "Eukaryotic small subunit ribosomal RNA", at positions 1470 to 1796 of the family's 1831-position model. The record is from RNAcentral.